UCGGGGAGUUGCACGUAAACUUUGAUCCGAAGAUUUCCGAAUGAGGAAACUCACUUAGAGUACUUUCUAAGUCUCAUUAAGUGAAUACAUAGCUUAAUGAGUGGAACUCAGGGAACUGACACAUCUAAGUACCUGAAGGAAGAGAAAGAAAUUCGAUUCCGUAAGUAGCGGCGAGCGAACGCGGAUUAGCCCAAACCAAUAAAGUUUUCUUUAUUGGGGUUGCGGACAAAUCAAAACGAAAAGGGAUUGUAAUUGGAAAGGUUUGGAAAGACCCAACACAGAAGGUAAUAGGCCUGGAAGUUAAACGAGAUGGCGUUUGAUAUGAUCCAGUGGAACAAGGGAAAAGUGUAACCCUGUGGGAAGCAGGAGGGACCACCCUCCAAGGCUAAAUACUACCUAGUGACCGAUAGCGUAUAGUA
This 419-nucleotide ribosomal RNA is filed under the name Clostridioides difficile. RNAcentral's name for it is "bacterial LSU rRNA". It matches the Rfam family "Bacterial large subunit ribosomal RNA", at positions 78 to 500 of the family's 2925-position model. The record is from RNAcentral. Lineage: Bacteria; Bacillati; Bacillota; Clostridia; Peptostreptococcales; Peptostreptococcaceae.